This 490-nucleotide ribosomal RNA is filed under the name uncultured bacterium. RNAcentral describes it as "partial 16S ribosomal RNA". It matches the Rfam family "Bacterial small subunit ribosomal RNA", at positions 30 to 507 of the family's 1533-position model. The record is from RNAcentral.
AUUGAACGCUGGCGGCAGGCCUAACACAUGCAAGUCGAACGGUAACAGGAAGAAGCUUGCUUCUUUGCUGACGAGUGGCGGACGGGUGAGUAAUGUCUGGGAAACUGCCUGAUGGAGGGGGAUAACUACUGGAAACGGUAGCUAAUACCGCAUAACGUCGCAAGACCAACGAGGGGGACCUUCGGGCCUCUUGCCAUCGGAUGUGCCCAGAUGGGAUUAGCUAGUAGGUGGGGUAACGGCUCACCUAGGCGACGAUCCCUAGCUGGUCUGAGAGGAUGACCAGCCACACUGGAACUGAGACACGGUCCAGACUCCUACGGGAGGCAGCAGUGGGGAAUAUUGCACAAUGGGCGCAAGCCUGAUGCAGCCAUGCCGCGUGUAUGAAGAAGGCCUUCGGGUUGUAAAGUACUUUCAGCGGGGAGGAAGGGAGUAAAGUUAAUACCUUUGCUCAUUGACGUUACCCGCAGAAGAAGCACCGGCUAACUCCGUG